ACUGGUUUGCUUCUAGUGCUUGCUUCUGCAGUAUAUGUGCAGAGAAUAUUAGCAUGGCUCCUGCACAAGAAUGAUGCAGAAAUUCAUAAAGCAUUCCAUAUUUUU
Acomys russatus (golden spiny mouse) is the source of this 105-nucleotide small nuclear RNA. The record is from RefSeq and is a predicted model, not a curated record. Lineage: Eukaryota; Metazoa; Chordata; Mammalia; Rodentia; Muridae.